RNAcentral lists this ribosomal RNA (468 nucleotides) under uncultured bacterium. RNAcentral describes it as "partial 16S ribosomal RNA". It matches the Rfam family "Bacterial small subunit ribosomal RNA", at positions 28 to 507 of the family's 1533-position model. The record is from RNAcentral.
GACGAACGCUGGCGGCGUGCUUAACACAUGCGAGUCGAACGGAAGGGCCCUGCUUUUGUGGGGUGCUCGAGUGGCGAACGGGUGAGUAACACGUGAGUAACCUGCCCUUGACUUUGGGAUAACUUCAGGAAACUGGGGCUAAUACCGGAUAGGAGCUCCUGCUGCAUGGUGGGGGUUGGAAAGUUUCGGCGGUUGGGGAUGGACUCGCGGCUUAUCAGCUUGUUGGUGGGGUAGUGGCUUACCAAGGCUUUGACGGGUAGCCGGCCUGAGAGGGUGACCGGCCACAUUGGUACUGAGAUACGGCCCAGACUCCUACGGGAGGCAGCAGUGGGGAAUAUUGCACAAUGGGCGGAAGCCUGAUGCAGCAACGCCGCGUGCGGGAUGACGGCCUUCGGGUUGUAAACCGCUUUCGCCUGUGACGAAGCGUGAGUGACGGUAAUGGGUAAAGAAGCACCGGCUAACUACGUG